RNAcentral lists this unclassified non-coding RNA (164 nucleotides) under uncultured Leotiaceae. RNAcentral's name for it is "sequence contains ITS1". Lineage: Eukaryota; Fungi; Ascomycota; Leotiomycetes; Helotiales. The record is from RNAcentral.
AAGAGUUAUUGUGGGCCUACACCCUAAUACUCCACCCAUUGUUUACGUACCUUUGUUGCUUUGGCAGGCCCGUCCUUGGACCGCCGGCUCUUAGCUGGUCAGUGCCUGCCAGAGGACCCAAAACUCUUGUUAAAUCAUAUUGUCUGAGUACUAUAUAAUAGUUA